This 857-nucleotide ribosomal RNA is filed under the name uncultured bacterium. RNAcentral describes it as "bacterial SSU rRNA". It matches the Rfam family "Bacterial small subunit ribosomal RNA", at positions 8 to 864 of the family's 1533-position model. The record is from RNAcentral.
AGAGUUUGAUCCUGGCUCAGGAUGAACGCUGGCGGCGUGCCUAAUACAUGCAAGUCGAGCGAGAAAUUCACUAUUGACGCUUCGGUUGAUUUAGUAAAUGGAAAGCGGCGGACGGGUGAGUAACGCGUAGGCAACCUGCCCUUAGCAGAGGGAUAGCCAUUGGAAACGAUGAUUAAAACCUCAUAACAUCGUAGUACCACAUGGUACAUCGGUCAAAGAUUUAUCGGCUAAGGAUGGGCCUGCGUCUGAUUAACUAGUUGGUGAGGUAACGGCCCACCAAGGUGACGAUCAGUAGCCGACCUGAGAGGGUGAUCGGCCACAUUGGAACUGAGACACGGUCCAAACUUCUACGGAAGGCAGCAGUAAGGAAUCUUGCACAAUGGGGGAAACCCUGACGCAGCAACGCCGCGUGAGUGAUGAAGGCCUUCGGGUUGUAAAACUCUGAUCUAAGGGAAGAAACAAAUGACGGUACCUUAGGAGAAAGCCCCGGCUAACUACGUGCCAGCAGCCGCGGUAAUACGUAGGGGGCAAGCGUUAUCCGGAAUUAUUGGGCGUAAAGAGUGCGUAGGUGGUUACCUAAGCGCAAGGUUUAAUCUUGAGGCUUAACCUCAUUCUGCCUUGCGAACUGGGCUACUUGAGUGCAGGAGGGGAAAGCGGAAUUCCUAGUGUAGCGGUGAAAUGCGUAGAUAUUAGGAAGAACACCGGUGGCGAAGGCGGCUUUCUGGACUGUAACUGACACUGAGGCACGAAAGCGUGGGGAGCAAACAAAAUUAGAUACCCUGGUAGUCCACGCCGUAAACGAUCAGCAAGAGUUGUUGGGUCCCAAUGGGAUUCAAUGACGCAAGUAACGCAAUAAG